Molecule: unclassified non-coding RNA, 3932 nt
Filed under: Apis florea (little honeybee)
Lineage: Eukaryota; Metazoa; Arthropoda; Insecta; Hymenoptera; Apidae
Description: neuropathy target esterase sws, transcript variant X1
Source: RNAcentral
AAGUUGCAAGCUUGUAAAUUGACUAAAAUGGCGCUGGAUGACUCGAGCGAAGUAUCAAAGGUCAUUAAUUCAUUAUAGAUAAGUAAUUCUUUAUAUCAAAGCAACUACAUUGUUUUAAUCCAUCUACCUCGGAUUUUCGUCAUUUUUUACUUAUGAAUUUGUGACACACUUUUUGUUUAACAUUUUACUACAUUCUGAUGGAAGAAAUGAAUACCUACUAUGGAGGUAGUAGAAUUAUUCAAUAAAUGUAAUGAAAGUUUGGGUUCUUAUAUUUUUUCAAGAUGGAUUGGCAAAUUAAUUACAGAAUACCAAACAUCAAAGACCCUAUUUAGUAUUAUAAUAUCAAGUCUUGUGAUUUUAUUAAUUAUAUCUAUAAUCAUUCUCCGAAAAUGGAAAAACAAAGAAUUUCUUCCAGAAGUAAAAGAAUUUGUUGGAGUAGGUACAGGCAAGCCCAGAUUCAGAAAAAGAGACAAAGUACUUUUUUAUGGAAGAAAAAUGUUACGCAAAGUAAAAUCCAUCAGUGGACAAGUACAUGCAACUGGACAAGGAAAAAAAAGAAAAGCUGUAAUGAGAUUUGCACGAAGACUUUUGCAACUUAAAAAAGAAACAGUACCACAACAAUUAAAAGUUUUAGAACCACCUGCUGAAUAUUUAGAAGAAGAUCUAGGUCCUGGAGAAAAAGUACCACCUGAUGCUUUAUAUAUGUUGCAAAGUAUCAGAGUAUUUGGUCAUUUUGAAAAACCAGUAUUUCUUAAAUUAUGCAAACAUACAGAAAUUAUGAAUUUACCAGCUGGAAGUACCUUAUUUAAAAUUGGAGAUCCAGAUGAAAAUUUAUUUAUUGUACAACAAGGCUUAGUUAAUGUUUAUAUUACAGGACCUGAUGGUUCUCAAAUAUCAUUAAAAUUAGUAAAAACUGGAGAAUCAGUAACUAGUCUUCUUAGCUUCACAGAUGUACUUACUGGGCAUACAAGUACCUAUAAAACAGUAUCAGCUAGAGCUGUAGAAGAUUCCAUUGUAGUAAAACUACCAAUGAAUGCAUUUCAAGAGGUUUUUCAAGAUCAUCCUGAUGCAUUUGUUCGAGUUAUCCAGGUCAUUAUGGUCCGUCUUCAAAGAGUCACUUUCACUGCUCUCCAUCAAUAUCUUGGAUUAUCUGCAGAAUUAGUUAAUCAAGGAUCACAUAAAAAGAAACAAAGUCCAUUUUCUGGAUCUCCAGUUAGAUCAAGAACUAAAGAAAAUUGUUCUACUCAGAAUAUAGAAAAUCAAUCCAAUACAUUUACAACUAUUUCAUCAGAACAUGAUAAAAAUGAAAUAGUUCAUAUUUCUACAUUAAAUAGUCAUCAAAGUGUACCAAUUGUUAUAAAUCGACGGCAAAAAACUAAUCUUGAUUGGAAAAAUCAAAAUUUAAGUUCACAAUCAGGUCAAAAUACAGCAGAUAUGGUACCAGAAUGCGAUUCUCAUUGGCCAAAUUCUUCUCCUAUAACAUCACAACAAGGAUCACAACCAGAUGUAAUACAUACUGGAAAUUCACAUUCUAAUAAGAAAAAAUCGAUUAUUGCUGAACCAGUUCAACAACAAUUAGAUGAAGCACAUCUUGUGCAAAUAGCUACAGAAGCAUUCAUCAGGGAACUUGGAUUAGAAGAUGAUUCAAUACUCAAAGAUGGUAAAGUUCAAAUUAGAGAAGUACCAAGUGGUACAUAUUUGAUGAAGGAAGAAUCUCACAAGGAUGUUGCACUUGUCUAUGUUAUAUCUGGUAUAUUAAUAGUUAGUCAACGCGUUUCAGAAGGUAGAGAUAUAGGUCAAGAAGUUCAUAUGUUUAGUGCUCAUCAAGGCGAAAUUGUCGGUGGUUUAGCUGUAUUAACUGGAGAACCUUCUUUUUAUACCAUUAGAGCAAAACAUUCUAGUCGUAUAGCACUUCUUAGUAAAUCAACAUUUUUCGCUAUUAUGCGAGAACAACCAACUGUUGUAUUACAUGUUGCCCAUUCAGUUGUUCGAAGACUUAGCCCCUUCGUAAGACAGGUUGAUUUUGCACUUGAUUGGCUAUUUCUUGAAAGUGGAAGAGCAGUAUAUCGACAAGGAGAUGAAUCAGAUUCGACAUUUAUUGUAUUAAGUGGUCGACUUCGGUCGGUAAUUACAUAUAAAAAUGGAAAAAAAGAACUUGUUGCGGAAUAUGGGAAAGGUGAUCUUGUAGGUAUUGUAGAAAUGGUUACACAAACACCACGAUCAACAACAGUAAUGGCAGUACGAGACUCUGAAUUAGCAAAACUUCCUGAAGGAUUAUUUAACGUUAUAAAACUUCGUUAUCCAAUAGUAGUUACAAGACUUAUAAAUUUACUUGGACAUCGUAUACUUGGCACUUGGCAACAAGCGCAUACAAAAAAUGGCAGUAACGAUACACAACGGGCCGCAGCAACAGUCGAUGCAAGACCAGCUCAAGUAAAUUUUUCAACUGUUGCAAUAGUUCCGGUAUCCGAUGAUGUCCCUCUAACUGCAUUUACAUAUGAACUUUAUCACUCAUUAUGUGCUAUUGGACCAUGUCUACGCCUUACUUCUGAUGUUGUUCGAAAAACAUUAGGUAGCACUAUAAUGGAACCUGCAAAUGAAUAUCGUUUAACAUCAUGGCUUGCACAACAAGAAGAUCAACAUCGAAUUUCACUAUAUCAAUGUGAUCCAACAUAUACAUUGUGGACUCAACGAUGUGUUCGACAAGCUGAUUGUAUUCUUAUUGUGGGUUUAGGAGAUAAGCCUCCAUCUAUAGGUAGAACUGAACGUGAAGUUGAACGUUUAGUAAUGAGGACACAAAAAGAAUUAGUACUCUUACAUAAAGAACAAAGCGGACAACGACCUACAAAUACAGUACAGUGGUUGAAUAUGAGAUCUUGGGUUUCUAGUCAUCAUCACAUUCAAUGUCCUAAACGAAUGUUUACGAGAAGAUCUCAAUAUAGAAUUAAUGAGUUGUAUUCUAAAGUUUUGAUGUCUGAACCAAAUAUACAUAGUGAUUUUAGUAGACUUGCUCGUUGGUUAACUGGAACUUCAGUUGGACUUGUACUUGGAGGUGGAGGUGCUAGAGGUGCAGCUCACGUAGGAAUGCUUAAAGCCGUUAUCGAAGCUGGAAUACCUAUAGACAUGGUUGGAGGAGUUAGUAUUGGAGCAUUUAUGGGUGCUUUAUGGUGUAUGGAAAAAAAUAUAACAACAACAACGCAAAAAGCUCGUGAAUGGUCCAAAAAAAUGACACAAUGGUGGAGACAAAUAAUGGAUUUAACAUAUCCAGUAACAUCUAUGUUUUCUGGAAAAGACUUUAAUAAUACAAUUCAAGCAACAUUUGGGGACACAUAUAUAGAAGAUUUAUGGUUACCAUACUUUACACUAACUACAGACAUCACUGAUUCUUGUAUGCGUACGCAUACACACGGAUCGCUGUGGCGGUACAUUCGAGCUUCGAUGUCUUUGUCUGGUUAUAUGCCACCCAUGUGUGACCCAGUUGACGGCCAUCUCCUGCUCGACGGCGGGUACGUCAAUAACCUUCCAGCUAAGUCAACUCAGGUUUGCUAUGGAGAUACAUUCGAGCCAGUAUGACCAUUGCGGGGGUCUUUCCUCCUAUUUGCGACCCUCUUGACGGGCAUCUUUUGGUCGAUGGGUGUUAUGUUAAUAACGUGCCAGCUGACGAAAUGUUGAGGCAAGGAGCACAUCAUAUUUUGGCUAUUGAUGUUGGGUCACAAGAUGACACGGAUUUAACGAAUUAUGGAGAUUCUUUAUCUGGUUGGUGGUUAUUAUGGAAACGGUGGAAUCCAUUUGCAACGCCUGUCAAAGUUCCGAAUUUACCCGACAUACAAUCGCGAUUGGCAUAUGUUAGUUGUGUACGACAAUUAGAAGAAGUUAAAAGCUCAGAUUACUGUGAAUACAUCAGGCCACCAAUAGAUAAAUAUAAAACUCUC